AGUGAACGCUGGCGGUAGGCCUAACACAUGCAAGUCGAACGGCAGCACAGGAGAGCUUGCUCUCUGGGUGGCGAGUGGCGGACGGGCGAGGAAUACAUCGGAAUCUACUUUUUCGUGGGGGAUAACGUAGGGAAACUUACGCUAAUACCGCAUACGACCUACGGGUGAAAGCAGGGGAUCUUCGGACCUUGCGCGAUUGAAUGAGCCGAUGUCGGAUUAGCUAGUUGGCGGGGUAAAGGCCCACCAAGGCGACGAUCCGUAGCUGGUCUGAGAGGAUGAUCAGACACACUGGAACUGAGACACGGUCCAGACUCCUACGGGAGGCAGCAGUGGGGAAUAUUGGACAAUGGGCGCAAGCCUGAUCCAGCCAUACCGCGUGGGUGAAGAGGGCCUUCGGGUUGUAAAGCCCUCUUGUUGGGAAAGAAAUCCAGCUGGCUAAUACCCGGUUGGGAUGACGGUACCCAAAGAAUAAGCACCGGCUAACUUCGUGCCAGCCGCCGCCGUAA
RNAcentral lists this ribosomal RNA (506 nucleotides) under uncultured bacterium. RNAcentral describes it as "partial 16S ribosomal RNA". It matches the Rfam family "Bacterial small subunit ribosomal RNA", at positions 29 to 523 of the family's 1533-position model. The record is from RNAcentral.